AUUGAACGCUGGCGGCGUGCCUUACACAUGCAAGUCGAACGGCAGCACGGGAGCUUGCUCCUGGUGGCGAGUGGCGAACGGGUGAGUAAUACAUCGGAACGUACCCUGAAGUGGGGGAUAACGUAGCGAAAGUUACGCUAAUACCGCAUAUUCUGUGAGCAGGAAAGAGGGGGAUCGCAAGACCUCUUGCUUUAGGAGCGGCCGAUGUCGGAUUAGCUAGUUGGUGAGGUAAAGGCUCACCAAGGCGACGAUCCGUAGCGGGUCUGAGAGGAUGAUCCGCCACACUGGGACUGAGACACGGCCCAGACUCCUACGGGAGGCAGCAGUGGGGAAUUUUGGACAAUGGGCGCAAGCCUGAUCCAGCCAUGCCGCGUGAGUGAAGAAGGCCU
Molecule: ribosomal RNA, 389 nt
Filed under: uncultured bacterium
Lineage: Bacteria
Description: bacterial SSU rRNA
Rfam family: Bacterial small subunit ribosomal RNA
Source: RNAcentral